Molecule: ribosomal RNA, 2520 nt
Filed under: Escherichia coli
Lineage: Bacteria; Pseudomonadati; Pseudomonadota; Gammaproteobacteria; Enterobacterales; Enterobacteriaceae
Description: partial 23S ribosomal RNA
Rfam family: Bacterial large subunit ribosomal RNA
Source: RNAcentral
CGGGACACGUGGUAUCCUGUCUGAAUAUGGGGGGACCAUCCUCCAAGGCUAAAUACUCCUGACUGACCGAUAGUGAACCAGUACCGUGAGGGAAAGGCGAAAAGAACCCCGGCGAGGGGAGUGAAAAAGAACCUGAAACCGUGUACGUACAAGCAGUGGGAGCACAGAGCAAUCUGUGUGACUGCGUACCUUUUGUAUAAUGGGUCAGCGACUUAUAUUCUGUAGCAAGGUUAACCGAAUAGGGGAGCCGAAGGGAAACCGAGUCUUAACUGGGCGUUAAGUUGCAGGGUAUAGACCCGAAACCCGGUGAUCUAGCCAUGGGCAGGUUGAAGGUUGGGUAACACUAACUGGAGGACCGAACCGACUAAUGUUGAAAAAUUAGCGGAUGACUUGUGGCUGGGGGUGAAAGGCCAAUCAAACCGGGAGAUAGCUGGUUCUCCCCGAAAGCUAUUUAGGUAGCGCCUCGUGAAUUCAUCUCCGGGGGUAGAGCACUGUUUCGGCAAGGGGGUCAUCCCGACUUACCAACCCGAUGCAAACUGCGAAUACCGGAGAAUGUUAUCACGGGAGACACACGGCGGGUGCUAACGUCCGUCGUGAAGAGGGAAACAACCCAGACCGCCAGCUAAGGUCCCAAAGUCAUGGUUAAGUGGGAAACGAUGUGGGAAGGCCCAGACAGCCAGGAUGUUGGCUUAGAAGCAGCCAUCAUUUAAAGAAAGCGUAAUAGCUCACUGGUCGAGUCGGCCUGCGCGGAAGAUGUAACGGGGCUAAACCAUGCACCGAAGCUGCGGCAGCGACGCUGAUGCGUUGUUGGGUAGGGGAGCGUUCUGUAAGCCUGUGAAGGUGUGCUGUGAGGCAUGCUGGAGGUAUCAGAAGUGCGAAUGCUGACAUAAGUAACGAUAAAGCGGGUGAAAAGCCCGCUCGCCGGAAGACCAAGGGUUCCUGUCCAACGUUAAUCGGGGCAGGGUGAGUCGACCCCUAAGGCGAGGCCGAAAGGCGUAGUCGAUGGGAAACAGGUUAAUAUUCCUGUACUUGGUGUUACUGCGAAGGGGGGACGGAGAAGGCUAUGUUGGCCGGGCGACGGUUGUCCCGGUUUAAGCGUGUAGGCUGGUUUUCCAGGCAAAUCCGGAAAAUCAAGGCUGAGGCGUGAUGACGAGGCACUACGGUGCUGAAGCAACAAAUGCCCUGCUUCCAGGAAAAGCCUCUAAGCAUCAGGUAACAUCAAAUCGUACCCCAAACCGACACAGGUGGUCAGGUAGAGAAUACCAAGGCGCUUGAGAGAACUCGGGUGAAGGAACUAGGCAAAAUGGUGCCGUAACUUCGGGAGAAGGCACGCUGAUAUGUAGGUGAAGUCCCUCGCGGAUGGAGCUGAAAUCAGUCGAAGAUACCAGCUGGCUGCAACUGUUUAUUAAAAACACAGCACUGUGCAAACACGAAAGUGGACGUAUACGGUGUGACGCCUGCCCGGUGCCGGAAGGUUAAUUGAUGGGGUCAGCGCAAGCGAAGCUCUUGAUCGAAGCCCCGGUAAACGGCGGCCGUAACUAUAACGGUCCUAAGGUAGCGAAAUUCCUUGUCGGGUAAGUUCCGACCUGCACGAAUGGCGUAAUGAUGGCCAGGCUGUCUCCACCCGAGACUCAGUGAAAUUGAACUCGCUGUGAAGAUGCAGUGUACCCGCGGCAAGACGGAAAGACCCCGUGAACCUUUACUAUAGCUUGACACUGAACAUUGAGCCUUGAUGUGUAGGAUAGGUGGGAGGCUUUGAAGUGUGGACGCCAGUCUGCAUGGAGCCGACCUUGAAAUACCACCCUUUAAUGUUUGAUGUUCUAACGUUGACCCGUAAUCCGGGUUGCGGACAGUGUCUGGUGGGUAGUUUGACUGGGGCGGUCUCCUCCUAAAGAGUAACGGAGGAGCACGAAGGUUGGCUAAUCCUGGUCGGACAUCAGGAGGUUAGUGCAAUGGCAUAAGCCAGCUUGACUGCGAGCGUGACGGCGCGAGCAGGUGCGAAAGCAGGUCAUAGUGAUCCGGUGGUUCUGAAUGGAAGGGCCAUCGCUCAACGGAUAAAAGGUACUCCGGGGAUAACAGGCUGAUACCGCCCAAGAGUUCAUAUCGACGGCGGUGUUUGGCACCUCGAUGUCGGCUCAUCACAUCCUGGGGCUGAAGUAGGUCCCAAGGGUAUGGCUGUUCGCCAUUUAAAGUGGUACGCGAGCUGGGUUUAGAACGUCGUGAGACAGUUCGGUCCCUAUCUGCCGUGGGCGCUGGAGAACUGAGGGGGGCUGCUCCUAGUACGAGAGGACCGGAGUGGACGCAUCACUGGUGUUCGGGUUGUCAUGCCAAUGGCACUGCCCGGUAGCUAAAUGCGGAAGAGAUAAGUGCUGAAAGCAUCUAAGCACGAAACUUGCCCCGAGAUGAGUUCUCCCUGACUCCUUGAGAGUCCUGAAGGAACGUUGAAGACGACGACGUUGAUAGGCCGGGUGUGUAAGCGCAGCGAUGCGUUGAGCUAACCGGUACUAAUGAACCGUGAGG